AGAUACCCCAAUAUGCCUAGCCGUAAAAAAUCUAAUUACACUUAAACCGCCAGGGGAACUACGAGCUUUAGCUUAAAACCCAAAGGACUUGACGGUGUCCCACCCAACUAGAGGAGCCUGUCCUAUAAUCGAUAAUCCACGUUUUACCUAACCCUUUUUUGCUUUAUCAGCCUGUACACCUCCGUCGUAAGCCUACCAUAUGAAUGAAAAAUAGUAGACUCAAGGAUUUUUUAUCACAAUGACAGGUCAAGGUGCAGCUUACAAAAUGGUAGAGAUGAGCUACAAUUUCUAAAUUAGAACAAACGAAAUACUGCAUGAAACACAGUCAUGAAGGUGGAUUUAGCAGUAAGUGCGGAAUAGAGAGCCCCACUUAAAUCGGCCCUGGGACGUGUACAAACCGCCCGUCGCCCUCUUCAAUAGCCCCCUAAACUAGUUUAUAACAUAACAAUGCGUUUUAGAAGAGGUAAGUCGUAACAUGGUAAGUAUACUGGAAAGUGUACUUGGAACAACAAAAUGUAGCUUAAACAAAGCAUCUCGCUUACACCGAGAAUAUAUCCGUGCAACCCAGAUCAUUUUGAGCCCAAAAUUAAGCCUACUCACAAUUUAAAAAAACUACCAACCAUAAAAAACUUAGUAAAACAUUUAUAUUUUCUAGUAAAGGUGAUUGAAAAUAAUAUUAGAGCUAUAAAGUACCGCAAGGGAAAAAUGAAAUAAAAUGAAAAACCUAAAGCCAACUAUAUCAGAGAUUACAACUCGUACCUUUUGCAUCAUGGUCUAACUAGUCUAACCAAGCAAGAUGAAAUUUUAGCAUGCAUUCCCGAAACUAAGCGAGCUACUUCAGAACAACCAAAAGAGCCAACCCGUCUCUGUAGCAAUAGAGUGGGACGAUUCUCAAGUAGAAGUGAAAAGCCUAUCGAGCUUAGAGAUAGCUGGUUACUCAAGAAAAGAAUAUUAGUUCACCCUUAAACACCACCCUAUGAUAAAAGCAACACCAAAAAAUUUAAGUGUUAUUCAAUUAAGGCACAGCUUAUUUGAAAAAGGAUACAACCUAAAUAAACGGGUAAAUUACCCAAAAACUAGAUAGUAGGCCUGAAAGCAGCCACCUACUUAAAAGCGUNAAAGCUUUAUAUUUCUCAUACAAAAUUCUUNUACUANACAUGACCCCAUAUUAAUUAUUGAAUGACCCCAUAAAAAUAUGGACUCCACUAUGUUAGAACUAGUANCUAGAAUUUAUAAUUCUCCAAAAUGUAAGCAUAAACCAACAUGAAUAGCCCACUGGUAAUUAACGAAAAUGAAUAAAAUACAGUAACCGCCCACGAAAAACAUGUAAUAUCAACCGUCAAUCUUACACCAGAACAUUAAUGGAAAGAUUAAAAGAGGAAGAAGGAACUCGGCAAACCACGGCCCCGCCUGUUUACCAAAAACAUCGCCUCUUGCUUAAUAUAAGAGGUCCAGCCUGCCCAGUGAAAAUUUAACGGCCGCGGUACCCUGACCGCGCGAAGGUAGCAUAAUCACUCGUUCUUUAAAUAGGGACUUGUAUCAAUGGCAUCACGAGGGUCGCACUGUCUCCUCCCCCUGAUCAGUGAACCUGAUCUCUCCGUGAAGAAGCGGGGAUGAAAAUAUAAGACGAGAAGACCCCAUGGAGCUUUAAACCCAAAGCAAUCUAAUCAAAUAAAUCCUCAUAUAAUUUAAGUAUGCAUAACGGCUUUAGGUUGGGGUGACCGCGGGGCAAAAACAAACCCCCACAACGAAAAGAAAUAAACCUUUAUUUAAGAGUUACUACUCUAAGAAUUAGCACACUAACGAACAAUGACCCGAUAAUCGAUCAAUGGACCAAGUUACCCUGGGGAUAACAGCGCAAUCUACUUCAAGAGCUCAUAUCGACAAGUAGGCUUACGACCUCGAUGUUGGAUCAGGGUAUCCCAGUGGUGCAACCGCUACUAAUGGUUCGU
Molecule: unclassified non-coding RNA, 1952 nt
Filed under: Chirixalus doriae (Doria's Asian treefrog)
Lineage: Eukaryota; Metazoa; Chordata; Amphibia; Anura; Rhacophoridae
Description: Chiromantis doriae (Doria's Asian treefrog) partial contains 12S ribosomal RNA, tRNA-Val, and 16S ribosomal RNA
Rfam family: Bacterial large subunit ribosomal RNA
Source: RNAcentral